GUCUCAGUAGCAUAGCGGCUAUUGCACAACCCGGAAAGGUUGAGACGCGGGUUCGAAUCCCGCCGGAGAUA
Molecule: transfer RNA, 71 nt
Filed under: Nippostrongylus brasiliensis
Lineage: Eukaryota; Metazoa; Nematoda; Chromadorea; Rhabditida; Heligmosomidae
Rfam family: tRNA
About the family: Transfer RNA (tRNA) molecules are approximately 80 nucleotides in length. Their secondary structure includes four short double-helical elements and three loops (D, anti-codon, and T loops).
Source: Rfam by way of RNAcentral